This 227-nucleotide long non-coding RNA is filed under the name Malus domestica (apple). Its description in RNAcentral is "long non-coding RNA (MDOM_LNC012377)". Lineage: Eukaryota; Viridiplantae; Streptophyta; Magnoliopsida; Rosales; Rosaceae. The record is from RNAcentral.
GUGCAAAAACAACAUGUUUUUCUCCUUGUUGGCCAAAACUUACCUUGCCAUUUUUUGCUUGGAAUUUGCUUCCUUCUUUUGGUUGGAAGAGAGCUUGGUUCUGCCCCCCUUUGGCAGGGGUUUUACGAAACCUUGUGGUGGUUUUUUAGCGUUGUCUAGCUGUGUCAGAGGUAAAACUGCAUUUGUCUUGAGCAUCUUUACAACUUCUUUGUGCAACUGUGUGUCGG